CAGCUUGCUGGUGUGGAUGAGUGGCGAACGGGUGAGUAAUACGUGAGUAACCUGCCCUUGACUCUGGGAUAAGCCCGGGAAACUGGGUCUAAUACUGGAUGCUACAUGUCACCGCAUGGUGGUGUGUGGAAAGGGUUUACUGGUCUUGGAUGGGCUCACGGCCUAUCAGCUUGUUGGUGAGGUAAUGGCUCACCAAGGCGACGACGGGUAGCCGGCCUGAGAGGGUGACCGGCCACACUGGGACUGAGACACGGCCCAGACUCCUACGGGAGGCAGCAGUGGGGAAUAUUGCACAAUGGGCGAAAGCCUGAUGCAGCGACGCCGCGUGAGGGAUGACGGCCUUCGGGUUGUAAACCUCUUUCAGCAGGGAAGAAGCCACAAGUGACGGUACCUGCAGAAGAAGCGCCGGCUAACUACGUGCCAGCAGCCGCGGUAAUACGUAGGGCGCAAGCGUUGUCCGGAAUUAUUGGGCGUAAAGAGCUCGUAGGCGGUUUGUCGCGUCUGCUGUGAAAGCCCGGGGCUUAACCCCGGGUGUGCAGUGNGUA
Molecule: ribosomal RNA, 545 nt
Filed under: Kocuria sp. CH343b_12C
Lineage: Bacteria; Bacillati; Actinomycetota; Actinomycetes; Micrococcales; Micrococcaceae
Description: bacterial SSU rRNA
Rfam family: Bacterial small subunit ribosomal RNA
Source: RNAcentral